UAGNGUAGCGGUGAAAUGCGUAGAUAUUAGGAAGAACACCAGUGGCGAAGGCGACUUUCUGGACGAAAACUGACGCUGAGGCGCGAAAGCCAGGGGAGCGAACGGGAUNAGAUACCCCGGUAGUCCUGNCCGUAAACGAUGGGUACUAGGUGUAGGAGGUAUCGACCCCUUCUGUGCCGGAGUUAACGCAAUAAGUACCCCGCCUGGGGAGUACGACCGCAAGGUUGAAACUCAAAGGAAUUGACGGGGGCCCGCACAAGCGGUGGAGUAUGUGGUUUAAUUCGACGCAACGCGAAGAACCUUACCAGGUCUUGACAUUGAUGGACAGAACCAGAGAUGGUUCCUCUUCUUCGGAAGCCAGAAAACAGGUGGUGCACGGUUGUCGUCAGCUCGUGUCGUGAGAUGUUGGGUUANNNNNNNANANNNNNCGCAACCCCUAUCUUAUGUUGCCAGCACUUUGGGUGGGGACUCAUGAGAGACUGCCGCAGACAAUGCGGAGGAAGGCGGGGAUGACGUCAAAUCAUCAUGCCCCUUAUGACCUGGGCUACACACGUACUACAAUGGGAGUUAAUAGACGGAAGCGAGAUCGCGAGAUGGAGCAAACCCGAGAAACACUCUCUCAGUUCGGAUCGUAGGCUGCAACUCGCNUACGUGAAGUCGGAAUCGCUAGUAAUCGCAGGUCAGUAUACUGCGGUGAAUACGUUCCCGGGCCU
This 713-nucleotide ribosomal RNA is filed under the name uncultured bacterium. Its description in RNAcentral is "partial 16S ribosomal RNA". It matches the Rfam family "Bacterial small subunit ribosomal RNA", at positions 671 to 1381 of the family's 1533-position model. The record is from RNAcentral.